GAUGAACGCUGGCGGCGGGCCUAAUACAUGCAAGUCGAGCGAACAGACGAGGAGCUUGCUCCGCUGACGUUAGCGGCGGACGGGUGAGUAACACGUGGAUAGCCUACCUAUAGGACUGGGAUAACUUCGGGAAACCGGAGCUAAUACCGGAUAAUAUAUUGAACCGCAUGGUUCAAUAGUGAAAGACGGUUGUGCUGUCACUUAUAGAUGGAUCCGCGCGGCAUUAGCUAGUUGGUAAGGGAACGGCUUACCAAGGCAACGAUGCGUAGCAGACCUGAAAGGGUCAUCGGCCAGACUGUAUGUGAGACACGGUAGACACUCCUACGGGAGGAAGCAGUCGGGAAUCCUACGCAAUGGGGGAAAGCGUGACGGAGCACAGUCGGGUAAGUCAUGACGGUCUUAGGCUCGUAAAACUAUGUUAUUCGGGAAGAACAAAUGUGUAAGCACCUAUGAACGUAUUGACGGUACCUAAUCAGAAAGCCCCGGCUAACUACGUG
RNAcentral lists this ribosomal RNA (497 nucleotides) under uncultured bacterium. Its description in RNAcentral is "partial 16S ribosomal RNA". It matches the Rfam family "Bacterial small subunit ribosomal RNA", at positions 28 to 507 of the family's 1533-position model. The record is from RNAcentral.